This 190-nucleotide ribosomal RNA is filed under the name uncultured bacterium. Its description in RNAcentral is "partial 16S ribosomal RNA". It matches the Rfam family "Bacterial small subunit ribosomal RNA", at positions 521 to 710 of the family's 1533-position model. The record is from RNAcentral.
UAAGACAGAGGCCUCAAGCGUUAGGCGGAAUCACUGGGCUUAAAGCGUGUGUAGGCGGACUUCUAAGUGCCUUGUGAAAUCCCACGGCUCAACCGUGGAACUGCUGGGCAUACUGGGAGUCUUGGGCCAUUCAGGGGCAACUGGAACAAGCGGUGGAGCGGUGAAAUGCGUAGAUAUCGCUUGGAACGCC